CUUCGGGUGAUUCCCGCAGGGUCCGACUGGUAUCAGAGUGGGACAUGAGCCAUGCGAGUCAACAUAGCAAUAUGUGGCAUACGGCUCAGUAACACGUAGUCAACAUGCCCAGGGGACGUGGAUAACCUCGGGAAACUGAGGAUAAACCGCGAUAGGUCAUCACUUCUGGAAUGGGUAAUGACUUAAAUCUAUAUGGCCCCUGGAUUGGACUGCGGCCGAUCAGGCUGUUGGUGAGGUAAUGGCCCACCAAACCUGUAACCGGUACGGGCUCUGAGAGGAGGAGCCCGGAGAUGGGCACUGAGACAAGGGCCCAGGCCCUAUGGGGCGCAGCAGGCGCGAAACCUCUGCAAUAGGCGAAAGCUUGACAGGGUUACUCUGAGUGAUUUCCGUUAAGGAGAUCUUUUGGCACCUCUAAAAAUGGUGCAGAAUAAGGGGUGGGCAAGUCUGGUGUCAGCCGCCGCGGUAAUACCAGCACCCCGAGUGGUCGGGACGUUUAUUGGGCCUAAAGCAUCCGUAGCCGGUUCUACAAGUCUUCCGUUAAAUCCACCUGCUUAACAGAUGGGCUGCGGAAGAUACUAUAGAGCUAGGAGGCGGGAGAGGCAAGCGGUACUCGAUGGGUAGGGGUAAAAUCCGUUGAUCCAUUGAAGACCACCAGUGGCGAAGGCGGCUUGCCAGAACGCGCUCGACGGUGAGGGAUGAAAGCUGGGGGAGCAAACCGGAUUAGAUACCCGGGUAGUCCCAGCUGUAAACGAUGCAGACUCGGUGAUGAGUUGGCUUAUUGCUAACUCAGUGCCGCAGGGAAGCCGUUAAGUUUGCAAACUGGGGCUUACGGUCGCAAGACUGAAACUUAAAGCAAUAACGGGGGAGCA
Molecule: ribosomal RNA, 869 nt
Filed under: uncultured archaeon
Lineage: Archaea
Description: bacterial SSU rRNA
Rfam family: Archaeal small subunit ribosomal RNA
Source: RNAcentral